ACUUAUUUGUUUUUCGCAUUAUAUUUUCAGCAUUAGCGGCUUUCACGAGAAAAAUUAUAUCUUGAGCUACGAGUAUCAGAUUGAGGCUUGUGAGUAUGAGUUGGAAAGCUAAGGAAAAGAUCUACAACUUUAGUUCAGAAGUCGAGAGCUGAAUCGGACUGUAGCAGGGCCAGAAAGUCUGUUGAAGUUGCAGAAUUUUAUUUGUAUUUUU
RNAcentral lists this long non-coding RNA (211 nucleotides) under Lathyrus oleraceus (garden pea). RNAcentral's name for it is "Pisum sativum (pea) long non-coding RNA (PSAT_LNC005191)". Lineage: Eukaryota; Viridiplantae; Streptophyta; Magnoliopsida; Fabales; Fabaceae. The record is from RNAcentral.